This 356-nucleotide long non-coding RNA is filed under the name Parus major (Great Tit). RNAcentral describes it as "lncRNA (ENSPMJG00000002658.1)". Lineage: Eukaryota; Metazoa; Chordata; Aves; Passeriformes; Paridae. The record is from RNAcentral.
AUUUGCUGUGCCACUUAAUGCAGGCCACCAAACUGAUGCCCUGAGAUGGAAGAUGUACAAGACUUGCUGCUGAGAAUACAGAAUUGGAACCACUUUGGCACUCUUCACAAAAAUCAGAGCUUCCAUCCUAAUUUUUCCUACCCUGUGCCUUUCUGCAACAGAGAUUUUUCUUCUACAAGUGGUUUCCAGACAAGAUUUAGUGCACAUUACGAACACCUUGCCAAGAAGGGGAGUGAGAGCACUGGGAUUUAACACCUUUGGUGCUCCUGCAGCUCUGCCCCAGGGACAAAGUCAGGUAUUGUACAGCGCAUUUGCUUUUCUCUCCCUUUUUUUGUUUAAAUUAAACUCUUUGUAUA